UCGGGCGUGGUGCACGGUGCACGGCGGCAUUCGAUCGAAGUUUGAGAUCGGAUACGUCGCAGUCCGGGGUUCGACUCCCCGCGCCCGAA
This is a non-coding RNA of Mycena latifolia, 89 nucleotides long. The record is from the annotation of a GenBank genome assembly. Lineage: Eukaryota; Fungi; Basidiomycota; Agaricomycetes; Agaricales; Mycenaceae.